Molecule: ribosomal RNA, 460 nt
Filed under: uncultured bacterium
Lineage: Bacteria
Description: partial 16S ribosomal RNA
Rfam family: Bacterial small subunit ribosomal RNA
Source: RNAcentral
CCUACGGGAGGCAGCAGUAGGGAAUAUUGCUCAAUGGGCGAAAGCCUGAACCAGCAACGCCGCGUGAAGGAUGAAGGUCCUCGGGGUUGUAAACUUUUUUUUUCGGGGAGCAAUUGGGUCCACGCGUGGGCUUAGCGAGAGUACAUGAAGUGACAGCAUCGGCUCACUCCGUGCCAGCAGCCGCGGUAAUACGGAGGAUGCGAGCGUUAUCCGGAUUGAUUGGGAUUACAGGGUGCGUAGGCGGAAUAUCUAGUCAGCCGUAAAAAUUCGGGGAUCAACCCCGUCGUGCCGUUGAAACUGAUGUUCUUGAGUGGGCGAGAGGUAGGCGGAAUUCGUGGUGUAGCGGUGAAAUGCAUAGAUAUCACGCAGAACUCCGAUGGCGAAGGCAGCAUAUCGGAGCCCAACUGACGCUGAAGCACGAAAGCGUGGGGAGCGAACAGGAUUAGAUACCCUGGUAGUC